Molecule: long non-coding RNA, 1557 nt
Organism: Oryza sativa Japonica Group (Japanese rice)
Lineage: Eukaryota; Viridiplantae; Streptophyta; Magnoliopsida; Poales; Poaceae
Source: RefSeq, a predicted model, not a curated record
GACACCAACCCUUACCCUUCUAUAAAUCCAGCUGCUUCUCCCCCCACCUUUGCUUCUACCUCACCCACACCCACUGUUCUUGGCCAUAGCUGCCUACUCCCAUGGUCUCCUCGUCCUUGCCCUUGUGCUCGAUCGAUCACCAGCCGAGCUGAUUUUUCUCUUCUGCUUGAUCUCUACCUCUGACAUGCAUCUGAAGACCGGAGAGCAUCUGCAUCUGCCUAUAUCAUCCGGUCAUGGAUAUGGAUAGAUGACCGGCCUGUUCAUGUCUGAAGAAAAAUCAAAGGUUUGGUUUUGAUCGGCUUGAGAGCGUGCCUGGCUCCCUGUAUGCCACUCAUGUAGCCCAAUCCAUGGUGUGUUUGGAUGCUGUGGGUGGCGUGCAAGGAGCCAAGCAUGCGUGCCAUGAUCUCUCUUUCUGCCUUAAUUCAGUUUCAGACAUGUGUAGUUGGAUUUGUUUCCUCUAGGUGUUCAUGUUAAUUACAUAUUUCAUGUUGAUUUUGCCCGUUUGGAUAUGUGUUUGUCUGCUUGGUUUCGAAUUGUUUUAGCAGGGGGGCAGAACUAAUCAAGGAUACUGCAAAUCGUUGGAAUUAAUUUCUUGUUCAAUCUUGAUCCAGAUAACUAUGAGAGCUUUUAAUCACAACGAGAAAAGCUAAAACCAAAAUGCGGGACUGAUGAUCAGCAUGGAGAGCAGCCUCAAUUUAUUUGUAGACGCUCAAGAUUACUUGCAGAUCUGUCAGAAGUAAUACUGCCACAAUGAGGAUGUUUUAUGGUUAUAUAGGCUAAAAUAUAUAUGAGUAAUAUUCCAUGCAUGUCUAUCAGCAUUGUAACUAGCUAUACAGGAUAAAAAUUCACAAAAAUUCAUACAGAAUCUCUCUUCGAUAUAUUCCCUACUAGCAGAUAGCUGAACCCUGAAUAGAGCUUUGCAAGGUUGCAGUUAGCAGGUACAAGGCUCUGAGAGGAGUACAAACGAGUACUUUCCAAUAUAUGCAUUUGUCUGAUAGAUAUGUACACAGUGACACAGUUUGUGAUGCUGCUGGUAAAAGUCGUUCACUUCUGAAACUUGCUGAAUCAGCUGCAGUUCGUUCUGCAAAGUUAAAAUUGCACUCCGCUGCUCCAAUUAAGCGAGCAAGCUUCUGUAUCCAUGCAUCUUGAAUUAAACUAUACUCAAGCUUCUAUACACGCUUUUUUUUUUGUAGGGAACAAAAAAUGUGGGAUUCGAUGCUAAGGAGAAACUUAGCAUCACAGAGAGGAAAAAUGGUGAGAAAACCCACGCACGAGAGGGGACUCGAACUCAGACACACCUUAAGUUUUACCUCCUUAUACCCGACAUAUAUCUUUUCAUAAAAGAAAGUGAGAGUACCCAAACUAACCUUAAUAUGUUGGAAUAUAAUAGAAAACUUUUUUUUAUGUUUGAUUUUUUUAUCUCUUCGGUUUUUUAAGGUACGACUGUACGGCGUACAUGCCUCUCACUAGAUAUACAAGCGUACAAAUGCAUAGCCAAUAUUACUUAUAUGUUGACAUAGAGGUAAUAUACAAAGUCUCGCUAUUGCCAAUCGUAAA